Molecule: non-coding RNA, 772 nt
Organism: Camelina sativa (false flax)
Lineage: Eukaryota; Viridiplantae; Streptophyta; Magnoliopsida; Brassicales; Brassicaceae
Source: RefSeq, a predicted model, not a curated record
UCGAGUGAUGCGCAAAUCAAAAUGACUAGUUUUUUUUAUUUAAAGUAAUACCAUCGUAUUUAUAAUUAUACACAUAAAUACUCAGUUGAAAUUGCCUUUGUUUGUAACCAGUGCCGGCUUAGCACAUGUGUUAGGGGUAUUUUCUUUUUGCAUCGUAUCAACGAAUCUAAUCAAUGUUUGAGCCGGACCUUUUUGUAACAAUUUAUAAAUUUCUCGAAAAUUUGCAUCACAAGUAGACUAAUUCAUUUUAGUUAAGUCCUAUGUUUGUUUAUUGAGAAGAUGUUACAUAUCGUUGAUGUAGAAAACCGCGUUUUCACAGCACACAAAAGUUUUAUUUAUCUAUUCACCCAACGUUUGAUUUUGUCAUGCUUCAGUUUUUAUAUAUACAUGUACACUACUUGUAGACAUGGGAGGGAGAAGAACAAUAUAUGAUCAUGAAGAAAACAACAACACAAACUUUUCUUCUUCUGUGUUUGCUAUGUCUAUCCUUUCAGGUUCGUCUCCACCAAGAUGUCAUAUUUAUUGAGAUGGGAUAUUGUGAUUGUGCCGUGACGCGAUCGUGAAGGGGCUCUAAGGAUUUUUAUUUGGUGCAGACGUUAACAUGUGACCACACUUUGAUCUAUAUAUAUGGUCCUCUCCUUUUGACAUUUUCUUAAUUUACCCUGUUUAUCGUUGAUCAAGCAUUCAUACAUUCAUGUCGAAAAGUGAUCAAUUUAAAAACAUUUGUUUAUAUAAAGACAAUUUAACCAAAAUGAAAAUCAAGGGUUUUUAA